GCAAACUUGGUCAUUUAGAGGAAGUAAAAGUCGUAACAAGGUCUCCGUUGGUGAACCAGCGGAGGGAUCAUUACCGAGUUCAGAAACUCCCCAACCCCUGUGAACCCGUACCCGAGCGUUGCUUCGGCGGGACCGCCCCGGCGCCCCGGAGGCGCCCCCCCGUCCCGGGGGGGCCCUCCCGUGCCCGGAACCAGGCGCCCGCCGGGGGCCCCAAACUCCUGCUUCUGCCCCGGCGGAAUCCCGUCUGAGUGCCGUGGGAUGCGAACAAUCAAAACUUUCAACAACGGAUCUCUUGGCUCUGGCAUCGAUGAAGAACGCAGC
RNAcentral lists this unclassified non-coding RNA (321 nucleotides) under uncultured fungus. RNAcentral's name for it is "partial contains small subunit ribosomal RNA, internal transcribed spacer 1, and 5.8S ribosomal RNA". The stretch from base 1 to 73 matches the Rfam family "Eukaryotic small subunit ribosomal RNA", at positions 1759 to 1831 of the family's 1831-position model. Lineage: Eukaryota; Fungi. The record is from RNAcentral.